GCAGAUAGUAAUUGACGAACACAACACACCACGUGGAGAGAAGCAAGGUGUGGAGUACCCAAGCCUCUCACAGUCCAUGCUAGUAGACUCACCCUGCAUGUGGAGAUCUCCCAAAAUGCACGGAGGUUAUUCCAGAGCUGCAGGACAGAGUACUUGAGGCCAUUGGUGAACAGAAAGCUGAGGUUGAACAAAGCCAAGAAUUGAUAGCUGCCCAAGGUGUAAGCAAGAUUCACAAUGAUGAGGUCAUUGUGACGUGUGCAAUGUGUCCACUGGUCUUGGCCUUCCUGACCAAGGCAGCCACACAAAGGAAAUUCCACGUUAUUGUUGCCGAACGUGCCCCUAAAUAUGAUGGUCACCCAGUGGCAAAAGCUUUAUGUACUGCUGGAAUUGAGACAACAUUAAUUCAAGACUCUGCAGUGUUCCCCAUCAUGUCACGUGUCAACAAGGUCAUCAAAGGUCAUCGUUGGCACCGAGACGGUGGUGACCAACGGAGGCAUUGAGACCUUUGUUGGUGCAGCCUCUCUUGCCUCACCACCAAAGUUUUAUUCUGUUCCACUGUAUGUGUGCACUCCCACAUACAAAUUUAGCUUGAUGGGCUGUGAAGAAAUAAGCCACCAAACCACCACUUCUAUUAUCCCAGAGGGAACAAAGUUUUGGCCGUCUGUAAAUACUGCGCUGACUCAGCUAGAUUACGUUCCUCCAGAAAAUGUCACCAGUUUGAUAACUAACA
Molecule: long non-coding RNA, 730 nt
Organism: Scylla paramamosain (green mud crab)
Lineage: Eukaryota; Metazoa; Arthropoda; Malacostraca; Decapoda; Portunidae
Exons: 4
Source: RefSeq, a predicted model, not a curated record